CUCUGUUUCCAAAGGAUUCAGGGCAAAAAGGAG
This is a non-coding RNA of Pontibacillus chungwhensis BH030062, 33 nucleotides long. Lineage: Bacteria; Bacillati; Bacillota; Bacilli; Caryophanales; Bacillaceae. The record is from Rfam.